CCGUAGCCGAAAACCUCAAAGGCUCAAACACGUCUCUCUGUCACUCUCGCUCGCUCCCACCUAUUUUCUGGUAAUUUUGAGAAAAUCGAAACUGGCGAAUCCGCAAGCGCACGCAUCUACUUCGAGCAGUCAGUCAUGGAUACUGGCAGCCGGCUCUCUUCUCCUUCUCAUCCUAGUUGCCGCUCACGUCCUGGCUCUGGUUUACUGGGUUUUUCGCCUUGCAACCGAGAAGCAAUCUCAAAGAACUAAGCGACACUAGUUCCCUGGAAGGAGCAAUUCACUUCAUUUCAUUCCCUUGCGACUAUUACGGGAUACUAUCUUCAUUCAACAACUAUCCCAGAUCGUAUGGAGACUUCAUUUUUACCAGAGGCAAUAGGAAUGUAUCUCCUCCUCUCUUGAAUGCUUUCAUGUAUAUUUAUCUACUCCACUAUUAGUUUUCCCUUUAAUAUUUAGGUGGAACUUGUGUCUCUGGUUCAUGUGUUCAACAAUUCAUUCUUAACCACCCUAAAAAUGUUUGUUUUCGUCUGAUUUGUCCCAAAUGAAGUGGCUUCAUCUGAUUUGAUUCCGAAUUUUUA
Molecule: long non-coding RNA, 575 nt
Organism: Ipomoea triloba (trilobed morning glory)
Lineage: Eukaryota; Viridiplantae; Streptophyta; Magnoliopsida; Solanales; Convolvulaceae
Exons: 3
Source: RefSeq, a predicted model, not a curated record